GGGUUGUGAGGUUAAGUGACUAAGCGUACACGGUGGAUGCCUAGGCAGUCAGAGGCGAUGAAGGGCGUGCUAAUCUGCGAAAAGCGUCGGUAAGGUGAUAUGAACCGUUACAACCGGCGAUACCCGAAUGGGGAAACCCAGUGUGUUUCGACACACUAUCAUGUCAUGAAUACAUAGUGGCAUGAGGCGAACCGGGGGAACUGAAACAUCUAAGUACCCCGAGGAAAAGAAAUCAACCGAGAUUCCCCCAGUAGCGGCGAGCGAACGGGGAGGAGCCCAGAACCUGAAUCGGCUUGUGUGUUAGUGGAAGCGUCUGGAAAGUCGCGCAGCAAAGGGUGAUAGCCCCGUACACUAAAAUGCACAGGUCGUGAGUUCGAUGAGUAGGGCGGGACACGUGACAUCCUGUCUGAAUAUGGGGGGACCAUCCUCCAAGGCUAAAUACUCCUGACUGACCGAUAGUGAACCAGUACCGUGAGGGAAAGGCGAAAAGAACCCCGGCGAGGGGAGUGAAAUAGAACCUGAAACCGUGUACGUACAAGCAGUGGGAGCACCUUCGUGGUGUGACUGCGUACCUUUUGUAUAAUGGGUCAGCGACUUAUAUUUUGUAGCAAGGUUAACCGUAUAGGGGAGCCGUAGGGAAACCGAGUCUUAACUGGGCGAUUAGUUGCAAGGUAUAGACCCGAAACCCGGUGAUCUAGCCAUGGGCAGGUUGAAGGUUGGGUAACACUAACUGGAGGACCGAACCGACUAAUGUUGAAAAAUUAGCGGAUGACUUGUGGCUGGGGGUGAAAGGCCAAUCAAACCGGGAGAUAGCUGGUUCUCCCCGAAAGCUAUUUAGGUAGCGCCUCGUGAACUCAUCUUCGGGGGUAGAGCACUGUUUCGGCUAGGGGGCCAUCCCGGCUUACCAAACCGAUGCAAACUCCGAAUACCGAAGAAUGUUAUCACGGGAGACACACGGCGGGUGCUAACGUCCGUCGUGAAGAGGGAAACAACCCAGACCGCCAGCUAAGGUCCCAAAGUCAUGGUUAAGUGGGAAACGAUGUGGGAAGGCACAGACAGCCAGGAUGUUGGCUUAGAAGCAGCCAUCAUUUAAAGAAAGCGUAAUAGCUCACUGGUCGAGUCGGCCUGCGCGGAAGAUGUAACGGGGCUAAACCAUGCACCGAAGCUGCGGCAGCGACGCUUAGGCGUUGUUGGGUAGGGGAGCGUUCUGUAAGCCGUUGAAGGUGGCCUGUGAGGGUUGCUGGAGGUAUCAGAAGUGCGAAUGCUGACAUAAGUAACGAUAAAGCGGGUGAAAAGCCCGCUCGCCGGAAGACCAAGGGUUCCUGUCCAACGUUAAUCGGGGCAGGGUGAGUCGACCCCUAAGGCGAGGCUGAAAAGCGUAGUCGAUGGGAAACAGGUUAAUAUUCCUGUACUUGGUGUUACUGCGAAGGGGGGACGGAGAAGGCUAGGCUGGCCGGGCGACGGUUGUCCCGGUUUAAGCGUGUAGGGGGUGUGACCUGGUAAAUCCGGUUGCAUACUAACCCUGAGGCGUGAUGACGAUGCACUACGGUGCAGAAGUAGUUGAUGCCCUGCUUCCAGGAAAAUCCUCUAAGCUCCAGGUAACAUUAAAUCGUACCCCAAACCGACACAGGUGGUCAGGUAGAGAAUACCAAGGCGCUUGAGAGAACUCGGGUGAAGGAACUAGGCAAAAUGGUGCCGUAACUUCGGGAGAAGGCACGCUGGCAUGUAGGUGAAGUCCCUUGCGGAUGGAGCUGAAGCCAGUCGAAGAUACCAGCUGGCUGCAACUGUUUAAUAAAAACACAGCACUGUGCAAACACGAAAGUGGACGUAUACGGUGUGACGCCUGCCCGGUGCUGGAAGGUUAAUUGAUGGGGUCAGCCGCAAGGCGAAGCUCUUGAUCGAAGCCCCAGUAAACGGCGGCCGUAACUAUAACGGUCCUAAGGUAGCGAAAUUCCUUGUCGGGUAAGUUCCGACCUGCACGAAUGGCGUAAUGAUGGCCAGGCUGUCUCCACCCGAGACUCAGUGAAAUUGAACUCGCUGUGAAGAUGCAGUGUACCCGCGGCAAGACGGAAAGACCCCGUGAACCUUUACUAUAGCUUGACACUGAACAUUGAGCCUUGAUGUGUAGGAUAGGUGGGAGGCUUUGAAGCGUGGACGCCAGUCUGCGUGGAGCCAUCCUUGAAAUACCACCCUUUAAUGUUUGAUGUUCUAACUCGGCCCC
This 2221-nucleotide ribosomal RNA is filed under the name Serratia marcescens. RNAcentral's name for it is "partial 23S ribosomal RNA". It matches the Rfam family "Bacterial large subunit ribosomal RNA", at positions 1 to 2234 of the family's 2925-position model. Lineage: Bacteria; Pseudomonadati; Pseudomonadota; Gammaproteobacteria; Enterobacterales; Yersiniaceae. The record is from RNAcentral.